This 639-nucleotide ribosomal RNA is filed under the name Bryobrittonia longipes. Its description in RNAcentral is "eukaryotic LSU rRNA". It matches the Rfam family "Eukaryotic large subunit ribosomal RNA", at positions 117 to 730 of the family's 3401-position model. Lineage: Eukaryota; Viridiplantae; Streptophyta; Bryopsida; Encalyptales; Encalyptaceae. The record is from RNAcentral.
AAAAUCGCGGCCCCCCCGGGGCCUCGAAUUGUAUUCUGGAGAAUCGUCCUCUGCCUAGACCAGACCCAAGUUCCAUGGAACGGGACGUCCGAUAGGGUGACAACCCCGUCUAGUCUGGACCCCGAUGCUCCACGAGGCGCUGUCUAAGAGUCGGGCUGUUUGGGAAUGCAGCCCUAAGUGGGUGGUAAAUUCCAUCUAAGGCUAAAUAUUGGCAAGAGACCGAUAGCGAACAAGUACCGCGAGGGAAAGAUGAAAAGGACUUUGAAAAGAGAGUUAAAAAGUGCUUGAAAUUGCUGGGAGGGAAGCGAAUGGAAGCUGCGGGUGUGCCCCGGUUGGAUGUGGAACGGCCUUUAACAAGCUGGUCUGCCGCUCAACGCGGGGCACUGGUCAGCGUGGGCCACCAUUCCCACGGGACAACAGGGGGAUUUUGUUUUCCCCCCUAUGCCGUUGGGGUGGCCGAGGAACGAAGCGCGCGCCCCCACCCCGGUGGGGGCGUGGGGUACCUGUACCCCAACUGCGCGCUCGAGACGCUGGCGUAUUGAGCUCUUCAUCCGACCCGUCUUGAAACACGGACCAAGGAGUCUAACAUGUAUGCGAGCCGGUGGGCGGCAAACCCAUUGAGGCGCAAGUAAACUGACA